CCUACGGGUGGCAGCAGUGAGGAAUAUUGGUCAAUGGGCGCGAGCCUGAACCAGCCAAGUCGCGUGAGGGAUGACGGUCCUACGGAUUGUAAACCUCUUUUGCCGGGGAGCAAGCGUGCGUUCGUGAACGCGCGUCGAGAGUACCCGGAGAAAAAGCAUCGGCUAACUCCGUGCCAGCAGCCGCGGUAAUACGGAGGAUGCGAGCGUUAUCCGGAUUUAUUGGGUUUAAAGGGUGCGUAGGCGGGAUGCCAAGUCAGCGGUAAAAAUGCGGUGCUCAACGCCGUCGAGCCGUUGAAACUGGCGUUCUUGAGUUCACAACAGGCAGGCGGAAUUCGUGGUGUAGCGGUGAAAUGCAUAGAUAUCACGAGGAACCCCGAUUGCGAAGGCAGCCUGCCGGGGUGCGACUGACGCUGAGGCUCGAAGGUGCGGGUAUCAAACAGGAUUAGAUACCCGGGUAGUC
Molecule: ribosomal RNA, 460 nt
Filed under: uncultured bacterium
Lineage: Bacteria
Description: partial 16S ribosomal RNA
Rfam family: Bacterial small subunit ribosomal RNA
Source: RNAcentral